RNAcentral lists this long non-coding RNA (424 nucleotides) under Equus caballus (horse). RNAcentral describes it as "lncRNA (ENSECAG00000048819.1)". The record is from RNAcentral. Lineage: Eukaryota; Metazoa; Chordata; Mammalia; Perissodactyla; Equidae.
CUGGAUCUCCAGGGAGGUGCAAACCAGCCCAGGAUGCCUUUCAGACGCGGCAGUGGCCAGCUGCAGCCAAGCCCGAUUGGAGGAGAAGCCUCUGGCCCAGCGAACCGCGCCCCGGAUAUGUGUUCCCAUCACAGGCUGUGAUGGGCUAAGCCCAUGCUCUGCCCGUAAAACCAGAUGCCAGGCCCUUCCUGCAGGGGCUUUGCCUCUGCGCCUGAGUCACGUGCAAUGGCAACAUCCGCCUCACAGGCAGAAGACAGGUAAUGUGCUGAUGUCAUAACAAGGUUUGUGGGGGGCACAGCUCCUGCAACAGCAUGAAGACUCAAUCAUUGUGCUCAUGAACUAUAAAAGGAUCCUGUACCAUUUUGCAUUCCCACCAACAGUGCACAAGGGUUCCAAUUUCUCCAGAUCCUCAUCAACACUUACC